UUCCAGUGCUUCAGUAUAGGGCAGCAAU
This 28-nucleotide small RNA is filed under the name Bombyx mori (domestic silkworm). RNAcentral describes it as "ovarian small RNA-37138". The record is from RNAcentral. Lineage: Eukaryota; Metazoa; Arthropoda; Insecta; Lepidoptera; Bombycidae.